RNAcentral lists this ribosomal RNA (961 nucleotides) under Ascaris sp. gibbon-gA. RNAcentral describes it as "16S ribosomal RNA". The record is from RNAcentral. Lineage: Eukaryota; Metazoa; Nematoda; Chromadorea; Rhabditida; Ascarididae.
UAGUAUUUUUUUUUUCAUUUUUUAGUAUUGUGUACUAUUUAGGGAAAAUAACAUUUGUUUAUGUUAAAUAGAAAGAAAAGGUAGAAGAUUAAUAAGUUUAUUUGUUUCACAAAUAAAAUUAUUUGUUUUGGUGUUGAUAUGUCGACUUUUUUGUUAUCUGUUUAUUUUUUCUUAUUAGAAAGUUAUAUGGUUUGUUUGUAUGUUAGGGAGUUAAGAUUUUGUAGUGUUCUUUUUUUUGUGUUUUAUAACGUUUUCUUUUUUUUUUAAUUGGAUGGUUUUGUUUUUAUUAAUUUUUUAAUAAAUUUAUGAUUUUGAAUUUAGUAGUUUUGUUUAAAUCUUUGUUUUUUGUUUUAAUUUUUUUGUGUGAACUUGUCUUUUGGUCAAAUGUUUUUUAAAGACUUAGGUCUUUUUUGAGACUGGCCUCUGCUCUAUGUUUUUAUAAAUGGCAGUCUUAGCGUGAGGACAUUAAGGUAGCAAAAUAAUUUGUGCUUUUAAUGGGUUCUAGUAUGAAUGGGGUUAGUGGCUAAUUUUUUACUUUUAUUUUUAUGAAUUAGUUUUGUGUUUAAGAAAUAAUGGUUGAUAUUAUACAAAGAUAAGUCUUCGGAAAUUUUUUUGUUAAAUAUUUUUUUAUUUUUUUAAUAUGUUUUCUAGGGUAGAAUGUUUUGUAACUUUUUUUACUAAUUUUAAUUUAAAAAAUUACUUCGGAGUUAACAGAAAAUCAUAUCUGAUUUAGUUCUUAUAAUAAUGAUAAGUUUUACAUCGAUGUUGUAUUUUAGUUCUUAAAGGGAGGAGAGGAUUUUAGGUUUUAGACUGUUCUUCUAUUAUUAAACUAAACGUGAUAUUAGUUUAAUUCAUCGUGAGAUAGAAUUGUUUAUCUUGGUAAUGUCUUAGUUUUAAUUACUGAAAGUACGAAAGGAAAUUUGUUGGAGUUUGAUAACUUUUGAAAGCGUUAGUACUUUUU